This 377-nucleotide ribosomal RNA is filed under the name uncultured eukaryote. RNAcentral's name for it is "partial 18S ribosomal RNA". It matches the Rfam family "Eukaryotic small subunit ribosomal RNA", at positions 592 to 976 of the family's 1831-position model. The record is from RNAcentral.
CAAUAGCGUAUAUUAAAGUUGUUGCAGUUAAAAAGCUCGUAGUUGGAUUUCGGGGCAGCCUGGCUGGUCCGCCGCAAGGCGAGUACUGGUCAGCCGCCCUUCCUCUCGAAAGCCCCGACUGCUCUUCGUUGCAGUGGUCGGGUAGUUCGGGACGUUUACUUUGAAAAAAUUAGAGUGUUCAAGGCAGGCCUACGCCUGAAUACAUUAGCAUGGAAUAAUGGAAGAGGACCUCGGUCCUAUUUUGUUGGUUUCCAGGGCCGAAGUAAUGAUUAAGAGGGACAGUUGGGGGCAUUCGUAUUUAAUUGUCAGAGGUGAAAUUCUCAGAUUUAUGAAAGACGAACAACUGCGAAAGCAUUUGCCAAGGAUGUUUUCAUUAA